AGUUAAUGAGCUUGAGAUAAGCAUAUGUUUUGAAAACAUAAGAUAAAACGACAAAAUUUUAUUAACUU
RNAcentral lists this transfer RNA (68 nucleotides) under Chelipoda sp. YD3012. RNAcentral's name for it is "tRNA-Ser". Lineage: Eukaryota; Metazoa; Arthropoda; Insecta; Diptera; Empididae. The record is from RNAcentral.